RNAcentral lists this long non-coding RNA (178 nucleotides) under Fukomys damarensis (Damara mole-rat). RNAcentral describes it as "lncRNA (ENSFDAG00000022355.1)". Lineage: Eukaryota; Metazoa; Chordata; Mammalia; Rodentia; Bathyergidae. The record is from RNAcentral.
GGAGACUGGGGGAACAAUAUCGUUGCACUAGUGGCCUCACCUGGAAAUAACUGGUGCAGGACUUCCUUGCUAUGUUUUUGUCAAUGACUGUUGAAGAAUUAGAGGUGACCAGAAGAAAAGAAAGAUGAGAAGCCAGAAAUAUGGCCAGUGCAUUUGGCCAGUUGGAAUUGGCCAACCU